CUCACCCAAAUGGCAUGCCAUGCUAGAUCUGGUUCGACUAAGUUGCUCUGGAAGCAGGAGUACACUGGGACUCAGAAGCUUCUUUUUGCCUCUUUGUCAUGUCUGACCCAGAGCUAUGAUGACUGACCAUUAGUACAUGUGGGCACAGGCUGCUGUAUCUGGAGAGGUGAGCACAGACAUCCUACAAGACAGAACUGGCAUUGUAUAGGAAAACAAGUUUUAUGCAGAUAAAAAUGAAUGAGGCAACCUGUGAGCCUGAACUUGGAAGAGACCACACUGUUCACAGUCUCUGUGGUAAGGUGAUAAGCUAUUACAUGUACCACCACUGUGACUGAGAAAACCUGAGAGCUUCAGUUCAACUUCUGGUUAAUUCACUAUGGAUGUGAAAGACGCCGAAAUGAUGGUGUGAUUGCAGAAGCCAUGACAAGCUGUUUUUCACCAAGUUACUCCUGCUGUAUUUUGCUGGAGAAGAACCGGAGAGCCAGCCCACCAGCCUGUGUACCUUACUCCAGGCUACAGAGCCAGGAUGCAUCACUGUGAGGAAUCAGACCCAACCAAGAAUUCUGACUCUCAGUCUUGACAGUCCUGAGGCCUCUCUAACUUCUUUACAGCUUUCUAGUGUGUGUUCUCUUUAUUCAUUUUGUUUAUUUCACUGAGAAAAGUACAGUUUACAGUCAUAGACUCUCCAAAGAUGUCAGAUGACAUCUGAAAUUACAAUAAUAGUCCAUAGAACUCUUAAGCAGGAUGGUGUAUUAUUGAAAACAGAAAAUAAUAAACAGCACUGUAAUCACUGGCACAUUUUAAACAA
Ictidomys tridecemlineatus (thirteen-lined ground squirrel) is the source of this 808-nucleotide non-coding RNA. The record is from RefSeq and is a predicted model, not a curated record. NCBI's taxonomy places the organism in Eukaryota, Metazoa, Chordata, Mammalia, Rodentia, Sciuridae.